CCCUCUGGGUUGUAAACUCCUUUUAUCUGGGGAAGAAAUCCAUAUAUUCUUAUAUGGUUGACGGUACCAGAGGAAUAAGCACCGGCUAACUCCGUGC
This 97-nucleotide ribosomal RNA is filed under the name uncultured bacterium. RNAcentral describes it as "partial 16S ribosomal RNA". The record is from RNAcentral.